RNAcentral lists this ribosomal RNA (253 nucleotides) under uncultured bacterium. RNAcentral describes it as "partial 16S ribosomal RNA". It matches the Rfam family "Bacterial small subunit ribosomal RNA", at positions 524 to 776 of the family's 1533-position model. The record is from RNAcentral.
UACGGGGGGGGCAAGCGUUGUUCGGAAUUACUGGGCGUAAAGGGCUCGUAGGCGGUUUGUUGCGUCGGCUGUGAAAUCCCGAGGCUCAACCCUGAGCGUGCUUCCGAUACGGGCAGACUAGAGGUAUGCAGGGGAGAACGGAAUUCCUGGUGUAGCGGUGGAAUGCGCAGAUAUCAGGAGGAACACCGGUGGCGAAGGCGGUUCUCUGGGCAUUACCUGACGCUGAGGAGCGAAAGCAUGGGGAGCGAACAGG